This 622-nucleotide ribosomal RNA is filed under the name Chrysomyxa piperiana. RNAcentral describes it as "eukaryotic LSU rRNA". The stretch from base 514 to 622 matches the Rfam family "Eukaryotic large subunit ribosomal RNA", at positions 1 to 109 of the family's 3401-position model. The record is from RNAcentral. Lineage: Eukaryota; Fungi; Basidiomycota; Pucciniomycetes; Pucciniales; Coleosporiaceae.
GUUCAAGAGUGCACUUUAUUGUGGCUCUAACCUUUUUCAAUAUACCUUUCACCCUUUUUUAAACCCAAAGCUGUUAUGUGUGCCUCUUUUGUGAGGUAUAGCAUCUCAGUAGUACGCAUCAUGUGAAUUUUUAUAAUUCACAAGUUGCAUUACCCCCCCUUUUUUAAAUUUAACACUAUAAAAAGUUUUUAGAAUGUAAACCCCCUUAAAAUUAAUAUAACUUUUAACAAUGGAUCUCUUGGCUCUCACAUCGAUGAAGAACACAGUCCCMCUGUUUGAGUGUCAUGAAACCCUCUCAUUCCAAUUUUUUUAUUAAGUUAAGAAGUUGAAAUGGAUGUUGGGUGUUGCCGUCAUUGGCUCACCUUAAAUAUAUAAGUACUUUUAUUGAAAAAUAAAUGGAUAUACUUGGUGUAAUAUUUACUAUUCAUUGAGGAGUGUGGUGCCUUAAAAACACUACAGCCAUUUGAACUUUGAUAAAUAGCUUCUAAACCCCAACAUAUUUAUAUAUCUUUUAGACCUCAAAUCAGGUGGGACUACCCGCUGAACUUAAGCAUAUCAAUAAGCGGAGGAAAAGAAACUAACAAGGAUUCCCCUAGUAACGGCGAGUGAAGAGGGAAAAGCC